UAGUCCACGCCGUAAACGAUGUCUGCUAGCCGUUGGCGACUUUAUGUUGCUAGUGGCGAAGCUAACGCGAUAAGCAGACCGCCUGGGGAGUACGGCCGCAAGGUUAAAACUCAAAUGAAUUGACGGGGGCCCGCACAAGCGGUGGAGCAUGUGGUUUAAUUCGAUGCAACGCGAAGAACCUUACCAGGCCUUGACAUCCCGAGAAGUCGCUAGAGAUAGCUUCGUGCCUUCGGGCACUCGGUGACAGGUGCUGCAUGGCUGUCGUCAGCUCGUGUCGUGAGAUGUUGGGUUAAGUCCCGUAACGAGCGCAACCCUUGUCCUUAGUUGCCAGCAAUUCGGUUGGGGACUCUAAGGAGACUGCCGGUGACAAACCGGAGGAGGUGGGGACGACGUCAAGUCAUCAUGGCCCUUAUGGGUAGGGCUACACACGUGCUACAAUGGAAAGUACAGAGGGUUGCGAUACCGCGAGGUGGAGCUAAUCUCAGAAAACUUUUCGUAGUCCGGAUUGCACU
Molecule: ribosomal RNA, 512 nt
Filed under: uncultured bacterium
Lineage: Bacteria
Description: bacterial SSU rRNA
Rfam family: Bacterial small subunit ribosomal RNA
Source: RNAcentral